Molecule: ribosomal RNA, 1746 nt
Filed under: Triticum aestivum (bread wheat)
Lineage: Eukaryota; Viridiplantae; Streptophyta; Magnoliopsida; Poales; Poaceae
Description: partial small subunit ribosomal RNA
Source: RNAcentral
AUGGAGGCUGCAGAAAUCGGCGGCGCUCUCCUGUUCGCCCUCGCCGCCGCCGCGGCCCUCUUCGCCGCCGUCUCCACCGGCGCCGUCGACUUCAGCCACCCGCCUGCCGUGGGCGGGCGGGUGGACUUCCAGGAGGCCAUCUCGUGGUUCAUCGGCGUCUUCGAUGGCUCCUCCUCCUCCUCGUCGGCGGCGGGGGGCGUGUCGCUGGCGGAGGUGUACGAGCUGUGGGUGCGGGUGCGGGGCCGGGUGAUCGCGCCGGCGCUGCAGGUGGCCGUCUGGGCGUGCAUGGUGAUGUCGGUGAUGCUGGUGGUGGAGGCCCUGUACAACUGCGUGGUCAGCCUCGGCGUCAAGGCCGUCGGCUGGCGCCCCGAGUGGCGGUUCAAGUGGGAGCCCCUCGCCGGCGACGACGAGGAGAAGGGGGGCGCCCACUACCCCAUGGUCCUCGUGCAGAUACCCAUGUACAAUGAGCUGGAGGUGUACAAGCUGUCGAUAGGCGCGGCAUGUGAGCUCCAGUGGCCAAAGGACAGGAUAAUCGUCCAAGUGCUGGACGACUCCACCGAUCCGUUUAUCAAGAACUUGGUGGAGCUUGAAUGUGAAAGCUGGGCGGUCAAGGGUCUGAACAUCAAGUAUGCCACGAGAAGCAGCCGGAAGGGGUUUAAAGCAGGAGCCCUGAAGAAAGGAAUGGAAUGUGACUAUGCCAAGCAGUGCGAAUAUGUUGCCAUAUUUGAUGCUGAUUUCCAGCCUGAACCAGACUUCCUUCUCAGAACAGUGCCGUUCUUCGUGCACAAUCCAGAAGUUGCUCUUGUUCAAGCUCGGUGGUCGUUCGUGAAUGACACCGCGAGCCUGUUGACAAGGGUACAAAAGAUGUUCUUUGAUUACCAUUUCAAAGUUGAGCAAGAAGCAGGAUCAGCAACCUUUUCCUUCUUCAGCUUCAAUGGAACCGCUGGAGUGUGGCGUACAGCAGCCAUCAAAGAGGCAGGAGGUUGGAAGGACCGCACUACAGUUGAAGACAUGGACUUGGCAGUCCGAGCAACCCUAAAGGGUUGGAAAUUUGUAUAUGUCGGGGAUAUCAGAGUUAAGAGUGAAUUGCCAUCUACUUACAAGGCCUACUGUCGACAGCAAUUUCGGUGGUCCUGUGGUGGUGCACAUUUAUUCCGAAAAGUAGCAAAAGAUAUUUUGACUGCUAAGGAUGUAUCUCUCAUCAAGAAGUUCCAUAUGCUCUAUAGCUUCUUCUUGGUUCGGAGAGUCAUGGCCCCUACUGUCGCGUGUAUUCUCUACAAUAUCAUACUUCCGAUCUCAGUUAUGAUCCCAGAACUAUUCCUACCAGUCUGGGGCAUCGCAUAUAUUCCCACAGUACUUUUAGUGGUCACAGCCAUUAGACAUCCAAAAAAUUUGCACAUUCUGCCAUUUUGGAUUUUGUUCGAGAGUGUGAUGACAAUGCAUCGCAUGAGAGCUGCCCUCUCUGGUCUAUUCGAAUUAUCAGAGUUUAACGAGUGGGUCGUGACAAAGAAAACAGGGAACAAUUUUGAAGAUAAUGAAGUUCCCUUGUUACAGAAAACAAGGAAAAGAUUAAGAGACAGGGUUAAUUUUCGCGAGAUUGUAUUUUCGGCGUUUCUUUUCUUCUGUGCAUCGUACAACCUUGUAUUCCCUGGCAAGACUAGCUACUAUUUUAAUCUCUAUCUCCAAGGACUAGCAUUUGUAUGUCUAGGGCUAAACUUCACUGGCACUUGCAGUUGCUGUCAAUGA